RNAcentral lists this RNase P RNA (349 nucleotides) under uncultured Ruminococcus sp. RNAcentral's name for it is "Bacterial RNase P class A". It matches the Rfam family "Bacterial RNase P class A". Rfam says of the family: Ribonuclease P (RNase P) is a ubiquitous endoribonuclease, found in archaea, bacteria and eukarya as well as chloroplasts and mitochondria. Its best characterised activity is the generation of mature 5'-ends of tRNAs by cleaving the 5'-leader elements of precursor-tRNAs. The record is from RNAcentral. Lineage: Bacteria; Bacillati; Bacillota; Clostridia; Eubacteriales; Oscillospiraceae.
AGUAAACCAGGCAGUCGCGGUCAACGGUCGAAAGACCCUGUCCGAGGAAAGUCCGGGCUUCACAGAGCGAGGAUAACGGCUAACGGCCGCCGGGGGCGACCCUAGGGAUAGUGCAACAGAAAAGAACCGCGAAUUUCUGUGAUACAGAAACGCAAGGGUGGAAAGGCGAGGUAAGAGCUCACCAAGAUGGGGGAGACCUCAUCGUUGUGUAAACCCUAUCCGAAGCAACACCGUGGAGGGACAUACAGCUUGCUCGGCUGUCCCGUGGAGGUGGCACCGAGCCGUCGCGGCAACGCGCGGCCAAGAUAGAUGACUGUCGAAUACAGAACCCGGCUUAUAGAUUUACUCA